GACGAACGCUGGCGGCGUGCUUAACACAUGCAAGUCGAACGAUGAACCGGUUUCGGCCGGGGAUUAGUGGCGAACGGGUGAGUAACACGUGGGCAAUCUGCCCUGCACUCUGGGAUAAGCCCGGGAAACUGGGUCUAAUACCGGAUACGACACUCCGAGGCAUCUUGGGGUGUGGAAAGUUCCGGCGGUGCAGGAUGAGCCCGCGGCCUAUCAGCUUGUUGGUGGGGUAAUGGCCUACCAAGGCGACGACGGGUAGCCGGCCUGAGAGGGUGACCGGCCACACGGGGACUGAAACACGGCCCGGCCCCCACGGGGGGGGAGGGGGGGGGAAAUUUCAAAAAGGGGGGAAGGCAUGAUGGAGGGAGCCGGGGGGGGGGAGGGCGGCCUUGGGGUUGAAACCCUUUUUAAGGGGGAAAGAAGGAAAAGGGGGGUAACCUGCAAAAGAAGCACCGGCAACAUACGG
RNAcentral lists this ribosomal RNA (463 nucleotides) under uncultured bacterium. Its description in RNAcentral is "partial 16S ribosomal RNA". It matches the Rfam family "Bacterial small subunit ribosomal RNA", at positions 28 to 506 of the family's 1533-position model. The record is from RNAcentral.